ACUCCUGCGGGAGGCAGCAGUGGGGAAUAUUGGACAAUGGGCGCAAGCCUGAUCCAGCCAUGCCGCGUGAGUGAUGAAGGCCCUAGGGUUGUAAAGCUCUUUCACCGGUGAAGAUAAUGACGGUAACCGGAGAAGAAGCCCCGGCUAACUUCGUGCCAGCAGCCGCGGUAAUACGAAGGGGGCUAGCGUUGUUCGGAUUUACUGGGCGUAAAGCGCACGUAGGCGGACUAUUAAGUCAGGGGAGAAAUCCCGGGGCUCAACCCCGGAACUGCCUUUGAUACUGGUAGUCUUGAGUUCGAGAGAGGUGAGUGGAAUUCCGAGUGUAGAGGUGAAAUUCGUAGAUAUUCGGAGGAACACCAGUGGCGAAGGCGGCUCACUGGCUCGAUACUGACGCUGAGGUGCGAAAGCGUGGGGAGCAAACAGGAUUAGAAACCCUAGUAGUCCCAU
This 447-nucleotide ribosomal RNA is filed under the name uncultured organism. RNAcentral describes it as "partial 16S ribosomal RNA". It matches the Rfam family "Bacterial small subunit ribosomal RNA", at positions 335 to 798 of the family's 1533-position model. The record is from RNAcentral.